This 65-nucleotide transfer RNA is filed under the name Limnebius zaerensis. RNAcentral's name for it is "tRNA-Leu". The record is from RNAcentral. Lineage: Eukaryota; Metazoa; Arthropoda; Insecta; Coleoptera; Hydraenidae.
AAUUGUUAUUUUGGCAGAAUAGUGUAUUAAAUUUAGAAUUUAAAAAUGUAUUUACAUACAAAUAA